GACGAACGCUGGCGGCGUGCUUAACACAUGCAAGUCGAACGGAAAGGCCCUGCUUUUGUGGGGUGCUCGAGUGGCGAACGGGUGAGUAACAUGUGAGUAACCUGCCCUUGACUUUGGGAUAACUUCAGGAAACUGGGGCUAAUACCGGAUAGGAGCUCCUGCUGCAUGGUGGGGGUUGGAAAGUCUCGGCGGUUGGGGAUGGACUCGCGGCUUAUCAGCUUGUUGGUGGGGUAGUGGCUUACCAAGGCUUUGACGGGUAGCCGGCCUGAGAGGGUGACCGGCCACAUUGGGACUGAGAUACGGCCCAGACUCCUACGGGAGGCAGCAGUGGGGAAUAUUGCACAAUGGGCGGAAGCCUGAUGCAGCAACGCCGCGUGCGGGAUGACGGCCUUCGGGUUGUAAACCGCUUUCGCCUGUGACGAAGCGUGAGUGACGGUAAUGGGUAAAGAAGCACCGGCUAACUACGUG
This 468-nucleotide ribosomal RNA is filed under the name uncultured bacterium. RNAcentral's name for it is "partial 16S ribosomal RNA". It matches the Rfam family "Bacterial small subunit ribosomal RNA", at positions 28 to 507 of the family's 1533-position model. The record is from RNAcentral.